Unclassified non-coding RNA from Rhipicephalus microplus (southern cattle tick), 939 nucleotides. The record is from RefSeq and is a predicted model, not a curated record. NCBI's taxonomy places the organism in Eukaryota, Metazoa, Arthropoda, Arachnida, Ixodida, Ixodidae.
GAAUUCAUGGCGGGCCCAGGUCACGACCUCUUGGAGGUCGUGGCCCAGGUGUUAUGUGGCGGGCCCAAGCGAAAAACGGCCGAAAGGGGCAUCUUCUGUGUAUUGUGCGGGAGGAUGCCAUGAGAGUAGUUACAGAAACACCGCAGGAAAGCUGCCGAAGGUGGAAUUCUGCCGAUUCCCUUGGAGAAAGUACGAUGACAACCGGAAAGCACGUGGAUCAGGGCUGUGCAACGAUUAAGGUCAGAGAGGCAUCUGUGGCAGCCCGUGUGGGGCGAUAUUCGGAUAUGCAGCGCGCACUUCUUGGGGAACAAAAGGAGCCCCCAUGCAACGAACCCGGCCUAUCUGCCAACGAUAUUUCCGUCGAGUGGCAUACAACAGAGCUCUACGACGAGUCUCGGCAGGCAUGGCGACAGCAGAACAGGCCCAGUCACGGCGAUUUAAAUCUAUGGCGACUCAGACGGACGACACCGCCCAGUGCUACACAGACGGCUCUGCACGAGGCUGCACUUUUCCUGUCAGUGACAUCCGGUGGCUUGGCAUCGACCCAGGUACAGUGUUGCUGAAACUGUACCAUUUUGCUACAAUCAGCAUCUAGCUGGGUCAAGCGUCAUAAAGGUUGCAGUUUGGUAGACGAUUCCCCCUCACCAUUUUGAGCGACAAAAUUCCAUCUUGCGAUAGUGACCUGCGAUAAAGUGGAUGCAUUCAUUGCGCUUCUGUGUUACACCUUUACCACAUAACACCUAUAUCCCCUCCCGUGCAAUUUCCUACUAUAUGGAACAUGGUAAAUGCUAGUUUGUAGUGCUGAGCUCCAGUCAUGGAGGAAAUUAAAUUACCGAAGGCCGAAGGCAUCGCAUUACAUAUAUUUGUUUUGCGUUUUACUGGACAGAUGGCACCACGAUACCAAUUUUGUCUUUCGAGUUCAUACUGUGCCAAAAAAAA